GGCGGGGGAGCGCUCGGGCCGCGGCGCGGGCCGCUCCUGGCGCUCUGGUGGCGCGCGCUCGGGCGGCGCGGCGCGCUCGGGCGCGCGCUCCCGCGGC
This 97-nucleotide transfer RNA is filed under the name Methylobacterium crusticola. RNAcentral describes it as "tRNA-Arg". The record is from RNAcentral. Lineage: Bacteria; Pseudomonadati; Pseudomonadota; Alphaproteobacteria; Hyphomicrobiales; Methylobacteriaceae.